RNAcentral lists this transfer-messenger RNA (361 nucleotides) under Lacicoccus alkaliphilus. Its description in RNAcentral is "Salinicoccus alkaliphilus Standard tmRNA". It matches the Rfam family "transfer-messenger RNA". Rfam says of the family: Bacterial tmRNA, also known as 10Sa RNA or SsrA, is named for its dual tRNA and mRNA-like properties. Its role is to liberate the mRNA from a stalled ribosome. To accomplish this part of the tmRNA is used as a reading frame that ends in a translation stop signal. RNAcentral also lists the same sequence under 1 other name. The record is from RNAcentral. Lineage: Bacteria; Bacillati; Bacillota; Bacilli; Caryophanales; Salinicoccaceae.
GGGGACGUUCCGGAUUCGACAGGGGCUGUUUGAGCAUUUUAAGCGUGUCGGAGGUUUCGGCUCCGUCAUAAACGAUACUCAGUUUAAUAACUGGCAAACAAAACAAUUUCGCAGUAGCUGCCUAAGAGCACUCUGCAUCAUCCCAUGGGCAUUCCUGCGGCCCAUGACGAUGAUUCAACCUUAGCGGGAUACGCACUGGGUCUGCCGUCUUAAGACCCAAUGCGGAAACCAAUAAGACUAGCAUGGAUGUCAAGGUCUGUUCAUUACCUUUAUCCAUGCGAAAUUGAAAAAUGAACUACACACGUAGAAAGAAAUGUGUCAAAGUCUCUGGACGCGGGUUCAACUCCCGCCGUCUCCAUAC